Molecule: long non-coding RNA, 486 nt
Organism: Macrosteles quadrilineatus (aster leafhopper)
Lineage: Eukaryota; Metazoa; Arthropoda; Insecta; Hemiptera; Cicadellidae
Exons: 3
Source: RefSeq, a predicted model, not a curated record
UACGUAACCAAUAAUAUGCUCUCUUUGCCUUUACAACUCGCAGAUUUACAAUCAGUUUUAUCACUAAUCGAUAGUAUGGAAACAAUGGAACGUUAAAAAAACAAGUGUUAGGAAUACGUAUAAAUAUCAGAACUAACAUAGGAUAGAUUUCAAUAGAUUUUGAGGUACUCAUCUCUUUAAAUCAAUUGUAAAUAUGUUGUUCACGCCAGCUUUUCUCGUAGCUGUCACAGCGUUGGCUCUAUUACUUGAUGGCGCACUAGCAGAACUUCGCAUCUCUCAUUCCAGACGUGGACUAUGGCCUGGAAAACACCAGGAUGGCAUUUAACACCAUGGGUUAAGGAACCCCGACCGGGUGACAGCGGCGCUGUACUAACGGGGGUUCUAUUAACUAUAUUUCAUUCCCUGGUUAAGAUUAUACCUUUUACAAAUCAAUUCUAUCAAUACUGUACAGAAAAUCUUAAACAAAAAAUAAAUGUUUAAACAAAA